AAGUCGUAACAAGGUCUCCGUUGGUGAACCAGCGGAGGGAUCAUUACAGAGUUGCAAAACUCCCAACCCUUUGUGAACGAACCUACUAGUUGCUUCGGCGGCAGACUCCUCUGGGGCCUAGCCUUUACGGGUACCCCGCCGGAGUCCUACAAACUCUUGAUUUUUUGGCAUCUCUGAGUAGCUUAUAAAUAAGUUAAAACUUUCAACAACGGAUCUCUUGGUUCUG
Molecule: unclassified non-coding RNA, 226 nt
Filed under: Apodus deciduus
Lineage: Eukaryota; Fungi; Ascomycota; Sordariomycetes; Sordariales; Lasiosphaeriaceae
Description: partial internal transcribed spacer region
Rfam family: Eukaryotic small subunit ribosomal RNA (bases 1-46)
Source: RNAcentral